RNAcentral lists this ribosomal RNA (253 nucleotides) under uncultured bacterium. RNAcentral describes it as "partial 16S ribosomal RNA". It matches the Rfam family "Bacterial small subunit ribosomal RNA", at positions 524 to 776 of the family's 1533-position model. The record is from RNAcentral.
UACGAAGGGGACUAGCGUUGUUCGGAAUUACUGGGCGUAAAGGGUCUGUAGGUGGCCAACUAAGUCAGACGUGAAAUCCCUCAGCUUAACUGGGGAACUGCGUCUGAUACUGGAUGGCUUGAGUGUGGGAGAGGAAUGCGGAAUUCCAGGUGUAGCGGUGAAAUGCGUAGAUAUCUGGAGGAACACCGGUGGCGAAGGCGGCAUUCUGGACCAUAACUGACACUGAGAGACGAAAGCCAGGGGAGCAAACGGG